UGAGGUCUCAUGUCUGCUUAUGCGGUGGCUCGCUGCUCAGAACAGGAUGGCAGAGAUGAGCACCACCAUCAAAAACUCAAGGACCAGUGCUGUGGGUCCAGUCAUCUGUUUCAUGGAAUUCACCAGUCUGGUAUCUUCAAAAUCCAGAAGGAUGAUGGCAGAUGGCAGGAAG
This 172-nucleotide unclassified non-coding RNA is filed under the name Homo sapiens (human). RNAcentral describes it as "novel transcript (LOC100505495) (ENSG00000280726.2)". Lineage: Eukaryota; Metazoa; Chordata; Mammalia; Primates; Hominidae. The record is from RNAcentral.